AGCGCCCCCGCCGCGACCGCCGCGAGCUGCUGGCGCCGCGCCGGAGGGAGGGCGGCAGGGUGCGACCGCCGGUGGGCGGAGGCCCGGGCGGCCUAGAGGUGGCUUCUCGGGGCCCGCGGAGGACCGGGGACCGGGAAGGUGAACUGAGGCGGUCGCCCGCUCGAGGCUGCACCUGCCCCGAUCGCCCCUAAACGGUCCGGCCUAGUGGGCUUGGGUAAGUGGGCCGGGCGGCGGCUCCGACUGCAGGGAACGAGCGUGCGAGAGCGAGCGGGUGUAGCGGCAACGCUGAAAGCCGUAUUUCCAAAAUGAAAACCCGUGAUUUUGAAAUGAUUUCCGGAGGAGGCGGCGGGGGGGGUUUGGGGGGGGGGGGGGGGGGCGGAGAUGGCGGGAUAUGGAGGCAGUUAAAUAUCUGCCAGACCCGGACCUGUCGUUCAUUCCAGAAGGGUCUCUUGACACUCCGCAGGUUCAAGGCGCUGGAGGCAGACCCAGGGCCUUGCUCUUUAGGAAGCUUACCUUCUAGUGGAGUAGAGAGAUUUAAGCAGACAGACAAGGUCAAGACGGAUUGUGGCAAGGCUAUGCCAUGCAGGAAAUACAGAAGAAUGAUGCGAGGGUUGAGUGGGCCAGACCCCCUUUUUCGGGAUAGGAUGGCUAGAGAACCUCUGGAGGGAAGUGAUAGUCGAGCUGCUUCCUGAGACAAAGGCGUGAAAUGACAGCUUAGACACAGUGUUACAGCCGGGGACUGUAGGUUCCAGAACUGCUGCGUAAGGCCGCGGAUUAUGUUAAAAACCUGUCUCCAAAGCCUGCUUCUUUUUUUUUUUUUUUUUUUAAUUUUCCUUUUAAUGUUUGUUUUUUGAGAAAGAGAGAGAGAGAGAGAGACAGCGCGAGCGGGGGAAGGGCAUAGAGAGAGAGGGAGACCCAGAAUCCCAAGCAGGCUCCAGGCUCUGAGCUGCCAGCACAGAGCCCGACGAUGGGCUCGAACUCACAAACCCUGGGAUCAUGAACUGAGCCAAAGUGGGACGCUUCACCGACGGAGCCACACAGGCGCCCCCUCUAAAGCCUUCUAAGGCCUGUCUCUGUCCUGUCCACUCCUUCAGUUUCGAAGGGCUUGCUCCCCCUUGGGAGUUGUUGGGGUCUGGGACUGUGGCUUCUUAGCGGAGGUUCAAGGCAGGAAUUAGGGAGCUUUGGUGUGUAGACAGACAUCAACAGAUGCUUGAAGGCAAACAGCCCCGAGAGACAAAUUCUUUAACCUUUUGCCGUUUCUUUUCCCACGUCACUUUUUCUGAAACCCAUGAGUAAGCGUUAAAACUAUGAUUUUUACCUGGGAGCUUAAUCCUCCCAAAAGAUGGAGCUCUGUUAUGAUCUGAAUAAGAGAAUUAAUGACCUAUUUUGCUAAAUCAGUUAAAGACAAAAUUAAAAGCUGACUUGCAAAGAGAGGACCUUUUCGGGUUAUAACGCAUUACCUGAAUAAUACCAAAAAACCCAAUAAUGUUUAUUCAGUAUUAGUUUAUAUAACUGCAUAAUUAAUGGAACGAUUGUUUGGAUAAUAAUAGUGGGGUUAGAAUCUCGAGCCCUUUUUGCUUACUCCUCGGCCAUUUGUUUUGGUUCAUACCAAACUAACAGAAGGAAAUAUUUUGUUGUGUCUUCUGGGAAAACUGGGAGCGAGCUCACACUUCUUGCUGCCUACUGUUUGCACAGCAUUGUGCUAGGCAUUUAAAUACAUUAUCCCUUUCAGGACUGGGACCAACCUUGAGAUACGGGGAUUAUUAUACCCAUUGUCGUAACGAAGACAUAGUCGCUGGAAGGGUCAGAAAUUAAACUCUAAUGAACUCUAAUUAACUCUAGCCCUAAUUCCCCUUUUGCACCAUGUGCUAUCCCCUAAUAUUUAAGAAGGAAAUAUAAGUGAAGUGUCCAGCCAAGCAGAUCUGUAUGUUGCUUUUAGAAUUUUGUUACAAAAAUAAGCUUCAAGGUCGAGUGAUACGAGGCAAUGUUGGAGCGAGCUUCUCUGCGUUUUUACUUCUCCCUCUAAAGGAUAUUUGCCAUCUAUUUGACACCAAAAAACAACUCUACUUGUUUUAGGAGUUCAGAAUGCCAUGUGUCUUUUGGUUGGUUGGUGGUUUUAUGUGAGAGGAAGAGAGCGCCAGCAGGGGAAGGGCAGAGGGAGAGGGGGAGAGAAUCCUUAAGCAGGCUCCAAGCUCAGUGUGGACUCCCGCACAGGCUCCAUCUCAAGACCUUGGGACCAUGACCUGGCGGAAAUGAGAAGAGUCAGGCGCUCAACCUGCUGAGCCACCCAGGCACCCCCACCCUGUGUCUUUUAAAUGCUCCCAAUAAUGUGAUAAAUGAUGACACUAACAUUAUGUCAUUGCAAGGGGCUCCUGCCCAACUGUGUCAGUCUGCAUUCUUUCACAAGCAGCCUUUCCUUGCACACAAAGUGAUUUCUUUCUGCCAAAAAUAUGUUCCCAGAUUUUUAUGGAAUAUUCUGACAUGUGAAUGCCCCCAGGUCUGUGUAGGCUGGCUGCUCUAGAGACAUUUAACGGAUGAAGGAAAAUCUUGCAAGUGUUUAUAUGGUUUUGAGGAAUGAGGUAGUAGGAUUUGUACAUUUUUGUUUCGUUCCUAUCAGAUCCUUCACGUUUUUCUUUGAUGAUGUCAAGAAAUAAAACUUUUCCUUUCUCAAGAGCAGUCGUUUUUUGUGGUUUUCACAAAAUUCAGUUGUGUUUUGCACACAUAGUACUACCUUUUGCUCUCUGCACAUUUCCGGAAAACAUCAUUAGUUCAGACAUUAAAAAUAGGAUGCAACUUUUCAGAGCCUACUGUUUUUAUUAAUGAGAUGUGUGUGUCUGUCUUUUUCAUUUUGGUUAACUCCUUAUAAACCUAUGGGAAUCUGGCAAAGCAAGUCUUUGACUAUGUAUAUUUAAGUUCUCGUUCUAAAAAUCCCUUCUUAUCUACAUUUACUGUUUUUCCUGCUGUCUUCUUUUUUUAUUUUAUUUAUGUGUUUAUUUCACUUUUUAUUUGGAAAUAAUUAUAGACGCGCAAAAGGGUACAAAAAUAAUGCAGCGAGGUUACCCUCCACCCAGGUUCACCCUCUGGCAGCAUCUCGCGUACCCAUAAUACAUUAUUAAAACUAGAAAAUUCACAUCUUGCUAUCUUCUUUAGGUUUUUAGUUUCUUUUUAAGUUUCAUUAUGUCGAAAAUUACCAUUUUGUAACGAUUCAUUUGUACUGUAUUUGAUUUGGCUCUUCUCCCUUUCCCAGAUUAACAAAUGACAGUCAGUAAGCUUGCCACAGUGCUCCUCUGGAAUUACAAGCUUACUACGACAAUUCUGUGUUUCAGCACGCUUAAAAGGAAGUCAUUUGUAACAUUUUUGGUUUUUUUCUGCUUAUACUGCUCCAUGUCAUUCUGCCCUAAUAAACCUGUAAAUUUAUACAACCUGUGUAUGUGGGUGUUUUAAUAUAUCCUUUGACCACUGGAAUGUUUUCAAGGAGGUUGCUAUUAAAGUAAAAAGAAAAAUAAUGCAAAGCUUUUUCAUCUGACUGAGGGGAAAACUUUCUAGUGCUUGCUUUCUUUCUUUCUUUCUUUCUUUCUUUCUUUCUUUCUUUCAAGAGGGAGAGAGAGCGUGUGCGUGCCAGCAGGGGAGGAGCAGAGACAUGGGGAGAGAAUCCCAAGCAGGCUCUGCACUGAUGACAUAGGACUUGAUCUCAGGAACCACGAGAUCAUGAUCUGAGCUGAAAUCAGGUGCCCCUGACUGGGGAAAAAAAAAGUUUCUAAACAUCUAACUAUCCAAGUGAGAAUACGAGGCAUGGUCUGUUGGUUCAGAAGCCAGAUCUCACUUAUGUCUCAUUCUGGCCCUAAGUUCUAGCCAGCUCACCCUUUACUCCACCAGAGAGUAAACAAAGGAAAGAAAAGAAGUGUAACUUACUUUCUUCAGUCUUAGUGUUGAGAAGAAGUUGAUGAGAAGAGAGAAUUUGGGAUUUGGGGUAGGUAUCAAUUAUGUAUUAAUGCCUCAUCACAAAUAAUCAAGUGAUAGCCCUUAUGCGUUAUAUAUUUAUUGUAAAUAAGUAGUCAAACGCUCUUCCUUCUAUGGGUUGUUUAGCAAAUGUAUUCGUCUACCGUGUACCAGUUGCCCAGUUAGGCACUGGUAACAGAGACACCACAGGAUCUAUUUUUUAAAGGAGUAUUAAGCUCUUACUAUGUGCCAGAUACUUCAUAGAUGCUAGGGAUCCAAAGGGAAGUAAAAAGAAAGCUGUGUUUUCUUCUCUCGUGAAACUUCCUGUCUGGUGAGGGAGACAAAUUAUCACACAAAAGUAACUUUAUAAUCCCAAUAGGUAUCACUAAGGGUAGAGAAGUGGUGCCUGAGAGCAUUGAAGCAGAAUUCUACCAAAUCUGGGGUGUCAGAAAUGGCUUCUAGCAAGAGAAUCUUUGAGCUAAGAUUUAAAACUGCCUCAUAGUGAACUUGGUGCAGAAGCACAGGAAGAGCAAGGAAAAACAGAGUCCCAGAGACUGAAAAGAAACGAGGGAGAUAAUGUGAGAGGGAUCUAGAGAAUUAAGCUAAGACCCACCAUGCAGGGUCUUACAGGUUUGGUAAGGAUUCUUAUCUUUGCUUCUGAAGUGAUACAAACCAAUUUAAGAGUUUUUAGUAGGAGUGGCAUCAGAUUGGUGUUUCCAAAAGCUCACUCUGGCUUCAAUGUGAAGAAUUCACUCUUUAAGUAUGUCCUGAGUACCCACUAUAAGCCAGGUUAUAGUCUGCACACUGAGCAUGCAGCAGUGAACAAAACAAAGAUUUCCUAACUUUAAGGAUCAUAUUAUAGACAAUACACAGUAGUAUGUAAGAUAGUGGUAUCUAAGAAGCUCUAUAAAGAAAUUUGGAAUCCAGGUGAGAAUAAAAAGGUAGGGUGGUGGUGCUAUUUUAUUAGCUUGAACCAUAUGAAGUUUCUGAUCUUUUUUACAUUGUUUUCAACUCAGAACAAUAUUGGGUUCGUGUGGGUUAAACAUGGUUGGAUGACAUUGAAUUGUUCAACCUAAUACUUGGAAGAGUCAGAGAAGACCUCUAAUGAGGUGAUCCAAAGAAAGAGGCAAGCCAUUCACAUACCAAGGAGAAGAGCAUCCCAAGCAAAGGGACAGCAAGUGCAAAGACCCUAAAGCAAGAAUGUGCCUGCCGUGUUUGAGUAAGCAACAAGGAGACCAUUGUGGCUGAAGGGUAAUGGUCAACGGGGAAGAAUGGUAAUAGGGACCAGAUCAUAGAAUCUCGAAGACCAUGAUCAAAUUUUGCUGCGGGAAAUGGAUAACGUGUUGGCUCUCUGUAUUAUUCUGGAAUUUCGGAUGGCUUCUCCAGUUUGCUGCUUCCCUGGACACCAAACAUAACAUUCCCUGUUCUAGGACCUGCUUCAAGUUGGUCAUAAGACUGGCAGAAAGUCAAACCAAACUAAAUGAAUAGUUGUUGAAGUUAAUCUCACGUCCUGGAGCUGUGUGUGCUAUGGAAUAGCCUGCUGUUGUUACCAGGCAUAACACUGAUCAGAAUCACUGCUCUGUGGUCUUGUUCAUCAGAAUUUCAUGUUUGGAAAUUAGAUUUGGGUCUGGUUACUGUAAAAAUAGAUAUUAUGAUAAUGGAAUAUAGCCGUUAAAAUUUCUAUUGCAGGAGAAAUUAGCCAUGUAUUUAAAUGUAGGAGUAUGUUACUAAACAAUAUGUUCAAGAUGAUUCCAGUAUUGUUUAAUGUUAUACAGACAUAGACAAAUACUGGAAAAAGGCACUCACAGUUCACCUUAAGGAAUGGAGGUACCAGUGAUUUCAUUUGACUUGUUUACUGUUCAGAAUCUUCCUAGAUGAAAUGUACUACAUCUAUACUCAGAUAAUUUUUAAAGGAAUCUAUUUUUCAUACCAAUACCCCAGAGUCAAAAUACGCAAAAGAUACCACUAAAGAGUGGUAAAUUAGGUCUACCUAAAAAGGUCUUAUUACGAUUCUCGCCACUCAAAAACCAUUGUAGAUUUUGCUCUUGUCUUGCAUGCAUUGUUUUUUUUCUUUCACUCUAAAAAAUCACGUACUAGAUGCUAGGAGUAAAUGAACAAUACAGGUGUGGCUUCUGCCCUCUCAGAGCUAACUAGUUGUCUGGGGAAGAUAGAACAAGCCGACGAACAAUCUAGCGUGUCACAGUCAAAAACACAGUUUCAUGCCUACUCCAUUAAAACACCUAACCCUCCUUUUUACGCGUCAAAUUCCGGCUUUGGCAUGUCAGCUCACAAACACAUUGAACUCGCACGCUGGCACUCACUGUCGGCCAUUGCUUCGGUUUGAGCCACGUCCCCAUUGUCCACAAACUCGUGUUCAAUUACUAGAGUACUAGUCAGUUAUUUGGGUAUUAAUUUGCUCUUAUUUUAGAAAAAUGUAAUUGCAAAUACUAGUCAUAGGACAUGUAGGUCUUAUAAAUGUAAGUUGAAUGAUAUAAGGACGGAAAUCAUCGUGUGCCCGGAACUUAAUCUAGCCUCAGUCAGAUACUCAGACAUUCAUGAAAUGAAGUCCAGUAAACUGAGUGAAACUAAAGAAGAAACUCAGAGAACAAGUAUAAGGUCCCGGAAAUAAUCAUUGUUAAAUUUUGUGGCUAAAGUUUUGGUAUGUUCAGAGAUUUUGAUCUUAAUUUUUUGGUUCUGUUAAGAAAGGAUUCCCCCUAAAACAAUAAGCUUACUGUUUGAUUUUUAAAGUUUUUUAAUGUUUAUUUAUCAUUGAGAGAGAGAGAGAGAGAGAGAGAGCACGAGUGGGGGAGAGGCAGAGAGAGAGGGAAACACUAAAUUUGAAGCAGGUUCCAGGCUCUGAGCUGUCAGAACAGAGCCCAACGUGGGGUUUAAAUUCACGAACCAUGAGAUCAUGACCUGAGCCAAAGUGGGAAGCUUAACCGACUGAGCCACCCAGGCAUCCCUGAUUUUUAGAUCCGUGGUCAGUUAGGCUUUAUGUUUGAAAGUUGGAAAUGACCUGUGGUGGCUCACCAUUGCCUACAGAAUAUAUUUUAAGUCAUUUAUCACAUGAGUGAUGUUAAAAUCCACAAGUCCAUAAUGACACUGAGAAAAGAAAAUAUACAUAUAAGUCACCUAGAAGUUGCAAUAGUAAGUUGCUACGUUAUAUGGUAACGACGAUCGGUAAAUAAAGGAAAAGAAUCAAGCAUUCUGCUUCUCUUAUACAAAUUGCAUUUUAGGGGAACCAGAGUUGUAAAGGGCAAGCCCUUUCGUAUACAGUAUUUCCAACUGAUAAAGGUAAGUGAAAUGACAAAAGACCAUUUUUCAAUCUCCUAAUAAAAUAAUAGACAACACCUGAACCCACUGAUCAAUUUUAACAUCACUCAGAGUCGAAUGACCAUACAUCAUAUGCUUCCUGAUGUGCUGCGAUCAAAAUAUGCUGAAUCACCUAUGCAGUAUUUUUGCCACUCCCCAAAUAUUUUGAGUUUAAAUCCAAUAAAGCCUCUAAGUGUAACAGCUUAUGAGGAGAAGGGAGAAUGAACAAUAUAGGAAAGUGUAAAACAACACCAGAGAAGAUGCGAUCAACUAAACCCAGACUGUGGAAAGUUCUACAGCACAAAUGACAGGAUUUCUUCAACAAAUAAGUUAUCUUAAUAAAUUAAAGAGAUUUAAGGCGUGCCUGGUGGCUCAGUCAGUUGAGCAUCCGACUCCUGAUUUCAGCUCAGGUCAUGAUCUUACGGUUCGUGAGUUCAAGCCCUGCUUGGGGCUCUGUGCUGACGGCGUGGAGCCUGCUUGGAAUUCUCUCUCCUUCUCUCUGUCCCCCCCCCCCCACUCAUGCUCUCUCUCGCCCUCUCUCUCAGAAAUAAAUAACUUUUAAAAAAGAGAUUUAAGACACCUAAUAACUAAGUACAGCAUGUGGAUCCUGAUUUGACAAACCAGUUAUAAACAGACAUUUUUGAAACAGUUGGGAAACUUGACUAGAGGCUGGAUAUUAGGUGGUAGUAUAUAAUUUUGUCUUUGUCAUAAUGAUGCUUUCGAAAGCAGUCUGCUAGAGUCGUAUACUGAAUAAGGAUGAAAUUUCAAUGAUCUCCAGGAUUUCCUUCAAAAUACUCCAGGGGGAAGGGGAGAAGUGGCAGAAGAAAUGAAAACAAGAUUAGGUGAGGAUUGUUAAGUGUUAAAGCAGAGUGAUGGGUCCGUGAGGUGAGAACUGGGGUUUAAUACCGCAUCCUCUAUUUUGUGUGUAUGUUUUAAAUUCUCCGUAACUCGAAGUUAGAUUUAAAUCGGUCAAUACAUACAUACUUAACACACAAAUGUACAUAAAGGCUUUAGAGCAUUUUGUUUCUACACCCAACUUAUUCCCUGGGGAAGUGACUGAGUGAAUGAAUACAAAGAACUGUAAUAUUAGGAUCCCUGAGCCAGUUGGUGUGGGUGCACCAUCUAAAUGUGUAAUCCCGAGGAAAGGGGCAUCUCCUUUUCUUUCUUGUGGAACCACCGAGGGGAAGUGUCCCAGUGAUGGCCACAAUGAGGACAGGAAGCACAACCCAAGUCCCUUUCUUCCGAUGGCUUUUGUGUCCGUAGGCGAUCAACGUAGUGGCGGGUAAAGUCCCUGGUGACACUGGAGCUUGGGUCUGAGUGAGGGUGUAAUUAUUUCCGACCGGUGCUUCAUUCGGUAUAAGGACACUGCUCUCAAAAACUGUGCACAACUGCAGAGGUUGACAAGGGCAUUGCUUUCCAAGGUAAUAGCCUUGGAACGCUCUGGAGUCAGCGAUGACACUGGGCUCCCAGCUACUACAGCGGUUAGGGUAACCCCUUCCAGAGCAAUCAGCCAUGAUUGUGACUGCUGUCAUUCCUCGACGGACAGGGGAAAAGGCGAUGCGUGGGACAAGAAGACAAGAGUUCUUGGAGCGCCUGGGUAGCUCAGUCGGUCGAGUGACCGACUUCAGCUCAGGUCAUGAUCUCGCGGUUCGUGGGUUUGAGCCCCACAUUGGGUUCUAUGCUGACAGCUCCGAGCCUGGAGCCUGCCUCAGAUUCUGGGUCUCCCUCUCUCUCCGCCCCGCCCCCCUCAUGCUCUGUCUCUCUCUGUCUCAGAAAUAAA
Molecule: long non-coding RNA, 9031 nt
Organism: Panthera uncia (snow leopard)
Lineage: Eukaryota; Metazoa; Chordata; Mammalia; Carnivora; Felidae
Exons: 2
Source: RefSeq, a predicted model, not a curated record